GAGAGUGGCGGACGGGUGAGUAAAGUAUGGGGAUCUGCCGAAUGGAGGGGGACAACUGCUGGAAACGGCAGCUAAUACCGCAUAAAGUUGAGAGACCAAAGCGUGGGACUUUUUAGCCACGCGCCAUUUGAUGAACCCAUAUGGGAUUAGCUUGUUGGUAGGGUAAUGGCUUACCAAGGCGACGAUCUCUAGCUGGUCUGAGAGGAUGACCAGCCACACUGGAACUGAGACACGGUCCAGACUCCUAUGGGAGGCAGCAGUGGGGGAUAUUGCACAAUGGGGGAAACCCUGAUGCAGCCAUGCCGCGUGUAUGAAGAAGGCUUUCGGGUUGUAAAGUACUUUCGGUAAUGAGGAAGGUGUAUUAUCUAACAGGUAAUGCAAUUGACGUUAGUUACAGAAGAAGCACCGGCUAACUCCGUGCCAGCAGCCGCGGUAAUACGGAGGGUGCGAGCGUUAAUCGGAAUAACUGGGCGUAAAGGGCAUGCAGGCGGGUCAUUAAGUUAGGUGUGAAAUCCCCGGGCUCAACCUGGGAACUGCACUUAAAACUGGUGGUCUGGAGUAUUGUAGAGGAAGGUAGAAUUCCACGUGUAGCGGUGAAAUGCGUAGAGAUGUGGAGGAAUACCGGUGGCGAAGGCGGCCUUCUGGACAAAUACUGACGCUGAGAUGCGAAAGCGUGGGGAGCAAACAGGAUUAGAUACCCUGGUAGUCCACGCUGUAAACGAUGUCGAUUUGGAGUUUGGUGGCAUGACUG
RNAcentral lists this ribosomal RNA (751 nucleotides) under Serratia symbiotica. Its description in RNAcentral is "bacterial SSU rRNA". It matches the Rfam family "Bacterial small subunit ribosomal RNA", at positions 91 to 838 of the family's 1533-position model. Lineage: Bacteria; Pseudomonadati; Pseudomonadota; Gammaproteobacteria; Enterobacterales; Yersiniaceae. The record is from RNAcentral.